Long non-coding RNA from Poecile atricapillus (Black-capped chickadee), 444 nucleotides. RefSeq lists it as uncharacterized. The record is from RefSeq and is a predicted model, not a curated record. NCBI's taxonomy places the organism in Eukaryota, Metazoa, Chordata, Aves, Passeriformes, Paridae. The transcript has 3 exons.
GGUGUUUUUAGGUUAUUUUGAGGGUUUUGAGGUGUUUUUGGGGUGUUUUUAGGUUAUUUUGAGGGUUUUGGGGGUAUUUUGAGGGUUUUGGGGUGUUUUUGGGGUGUUUUUGGGUUAUUUGGAGGUUCCUGGAUGGAUUUUGGGGUGGUUUUGGGAUAUUUUGGGUGAUUUUGGGGUGUUUUUAGGUUAUUUUGAGGGUUUUGAGGUGGUUUUGGGGUGUUUUUGGGUUAUUUUGAGGUGUUUUUGGGGUGUUUUUGGGUCAUUUGGAGGUUCCUGGAUGGAUUUCGUGAUCUCUCCCAGGGAAGCAUUCCCUGACCUCUCCCCUGACCCCACCCCCUCUCCAGAGAACAUUCCAGAAGGGGCUCCCUGUGCGGGGUCAGGGGGGAUCCCAGGGGGUUCCCCCGGAUUUGGGGAGGGGUCUGGGCGCCCCUGAGCCCCCUCCCC